This 637-nucleotide unclassified non-coding RNA is filed under the name Hevea brasiliensis (rubber tree). Lineage: Eukaryota; Viridiplantae; Streptophyta; Magnoliopsida; Malpighiales; Euphorbiaceae. The record is from RNAcentral.
GGGUGGGGUGGGUAAAACAACACUCGCCAGGCUUGUCUACAAUGAUGAGUCACUACAACAACAACAAUUUUGUCCAAAAGCAUGGGUUUGUGUGUCUGAUGAUUUUGACAUUUUGAGGAUAUCCAAGAGCAUUCUUGAGUCAAUCACUUUGAAGUCGUGUGAUCUAAAGGAGCUUAAUCAAGUUCAUCUGAAAUUGCAAGAAGAAUUAGAAGGAAAGAAGUUUUUGUUUGUUUUAGAUGACGUCUGGAAUAAUAAUUAUGAUGAGUGGAAUGCCCUUUGUUCUCCGUUGAUGUGUGGAGCACAUGGAAGCAGAGUGAUCGUGACAACACGUGAUGAAGCUAUUGCACGGAUGAUGAAAACAAUUCAAUAUCACAAUUUGAAUUGUAUUUCAGAUGAAAAUUGCUGGAAAUUGUUUCUUGACUAUGCUUUUGCGAGCACAAGUAUUGCAGUUGCAGAUCCAAAACUUGAAUUCAUCCGUGAAAAGUUCAUAAACAAGUGCAGUGGCUUGCCUUUAGCGGCAAGGACAUUGGGUGGUCUUCUACGCUCAAAACAAAGGGAGGAUUGGGAAAAUGUAAUUAACAGCAAAAUCUGGAAUUUACAUGGUGACGGCAACAACAUUCUUCCUGUGUUAAGAUUA